Molecule: ribosomal RNA, 272 nt
Filed under: uncultured prokaryote
Description: partial 16S ribosomal RNA
Rfam family: Bacterial small subunit ribosomal RNA
Source: RNAcentral
GUGUCAGCAGCCGCGGUAAUACGUAGGUGGCAAGCGUUGUCCGGAAUUAUUGGGCGUAAAGGGCUCGCAGGCGGUUCCUUAAGUCUGAUGUGAAAGCCCCCGGCUCAACCGGGGAGGGUCAUUGGAAACUGGGGAACUUGAGUGCAGAAGAGGAGAGUGGAAUUCCACGUGUAGCGGUGAAAUGCGUAGAGAUGUGGAGGAACACCAGUGGCGAAGGCGACUCUCUGGUCUGUAACUGACGCUGAGGAGCGAAAGCGUGGGGAGCGAACAGG